GAUGUUUUGUCUUUUGUUGACACGUUGUCGAGUAACCAAUUCGGCAGUCAUCGCACACGACCAGAGGUUAACGUAAUCACUUACGUAAAUACGAAGCUAAAACAUUGACACUCAAAAGCUGCAAACUGUUUACAAAGUGAAAACAAUCGAGGGCACCCGCGUACGUGCAAACUUUCCUGAUCAGUUGGCUGACGGUUGUUAAGAUGCUCUCGGUUACAAUACUUUCAUUAUUAGCUGAAUGAAUGUUUCUUCCCGUGUAUUCGGUCGUGUUCAUACAGCACUCGGCGAGUCUUGUACAAUUACGAUGGUCUGGAGACUGUGCAACCUUUUAUUGACAGCGUAAAGCCUGAAAAGGGUGUGAUCUGAAAGUUUCCGAAGUCUCCAGCGGACAUCAAUGCAGACAAAGAAAUAGCGAGUGCAAUUAGAAUUGGCAUCAAAGCAUGCGUGGUGAUGAUUCCCCUAUUGGGUGUCAGGUGGUAUUCGGUCUCCUCUCGCCUGUACAUGAAACUUUCGUUUACGUCUUCACCAUACUCAACUCUGCUCAAGUCAGUAUUCGCUGGGUUUCCUAAUUUUCGCUCUACACUGCAUGCGAAACAUUCAGAUCAGAGAGCGAUUCAAAAGAAAGAUGAACAUCGUUUUUCCAUCUUCUUUAAAGAACAACUCCACAAGGAAGAGCCACAGGUCAAUCCAAAUGAGGUUGGGGAUGUAUGGGCAAUUGAAUUGCUGUCUUGUGCUGAGUUUGAAUCGAAAUCGCAC
Molecule: non-coding RNA, 756 nt
Organism: Pocillopora verrucosa
Lineage: Eukaryota; Metazoa; Cnidaria; Anthozoa; Scleractinia; Pocilloporidae
Source: RefSeq, a predicted model, not a curated record